Molecule: ribosomal RNA, 168 nt
Filed under: Tuberaria macrosepala
Lineage: Eukaryota; Viridiplantae; Streptophyta; Magnoliopsida; Malvales; Cistaceae
Description: 5.8S ribosomal RNA
Rfam family: 5.8S ribosomal RNA (bases 1-94)
About the family: 5.8S ribosomal RNA (5.8S rRNA) is a component of the large subunit of the eukaryotic ribosome. It is transcribed by RNA polymerase I as part of the 45S precursor that also contains 18S and 28S rRNA. Functionally, it is thought that 5.8S rRNA may be involved in ribosome translocation.
Source: RNAcentral
UGGUGUGAAUUGCAGAAUCCCGUGAACCAUCGAGUCUUUGAACGCAAGUUGCGCCCCAAGCCGUCAGGCCGAGGGCACGCCUGCCUGGGCGUCACGCAACGUCGCCCCCUCCCCAAUCGGGUGCAGAGGGCGGAUACUGGCCUCCCGUGCGUGCAUUGCUCGCGGCUG